GGCGUGGUGGCGAAGUGGCAACGCAGCAGUCUGCAAAACUGUUAUGCGCGGGUUCGAUUCCCGCCCACGCCU
RNAcentral lists this transfer RNA (72 nucleotides) under Candidatus Lloydbacteria bacterium RIFCSPLOWO2_01_FULL_50_20. Its description in RNAcentral is "tRNA-Cys". It matches the Rfam family "tRNA". Rfam says of the family: Transfer RNA (tRNA) molecules are approximately 80 nucleotides in length. Their secondary structure includes four short double-helical elements and three loops (D, anti-codon, and T loops). The record is from RNAcentral. Lineage: Bacteria; Candidatus Lloydiibacteriota.